GCCAUUCCAACAUAUGCUGCUUAGCUUAGAUCUACUAGCCAUUUCAACAACUGGAUAGUGGAUAUCGCGGUCCUCAUUAACAAUUGAAUUAUAUUCAAAAACUUUGAUCUUCUUAUUUACACCAGCAGUUGCAAAAUAUUCACCAUCACGAUCAAAGCCUAGAGCACAUACAAGAUUGGAAGAAUUUAGAAGAUCCCCUUGCUUCAAGUCAGCCUUCACUUCCAGCUUGCUAUAAGAUAGAUACUUGCACAGUCCCUCCAGGAAUGAACUGAUUGAUCCACUCUGUCUAUCCUCAUUGCACCCCUCUUUUGAUGCCAAAUUACUCAUUG
RNAcentral lists this unclassified non-coding RNA (329 nucleotides) under Hevea brasiliensis (rubber tree). Lineage: Eukaryota; Viridiplantae; Streptophyta; Magnoliopsida; Malpighiales; Euphorbiaceae. The record is from RNAcentral.